Molecule: ribosomal RNA, 350 nt
Filed under: uncultured bacterium
Lineage: Bacteria
Description: bacterial SSU rRNA
Rfam family: Bacterial small subunit ribosomal RNA
Source: RNAcentral
UGGGGAAUAUUGGACAAUGGGCGCAAGCCUGAUCCAGCCAUGCCGCGUGUGUGAAGAAGGCCUUAGGGUUGUAAAGCACUUUCAGGAGUGAGGAAGGGCGUGCAGUUAAUACCUGUAUGUUUUGACGUUAACUCCAGAAGAAGCACCGGCUAACUCUGUGCCAGCAGCCGCGGUAAUACAGAGGGUGCGAGCGUUAAUCGGAAUUACUGGGCGUAAAGCGCGCGUAGGCGGUUUGUUAAGUCGGAUGUGAAAUCCCAGGGCUCAACCUUGGAAUGGCACCCGAUACUGGCAGGCUAGAGUACGGUAGAGGGGUGUGGAAUUUCCUGUGUAGCGGUGAAAUGCGUAGAUAU